RNAcentral lists this ribosomal RNA (735 nucleotides) under uncultured bacterium. RNAcentral describes it as "bacterial SSU rRNA". It matches the Rfam family "Bacterial small subunit ribosomal RNA", at positions 102 to 857 of the family's 1533-position model. The record is from RNAcentral.
ACGGGUGAGUAACGCGUGGGUAACCUACCCUGUACACACGGAUAACAUACCGAAAGGUAUGCUAAUACGGGAUAAUAUAUUUGAGAGGCAUCUCUUAAAUAUCAAAGGUGAGCCAGUACAGGAUGGACUCGCGUCUGAUUAGCUAGUUGGUAAGGUAACGGCUUACCAAGGCGACGAUCAGUAGCCGACCUGAGAGGGUGAUCGGCCACAUUGGAACUGAGACACGGUCCAAACUCCUACGGGAGGCAGCAGUGGGGAAUAUUGCACAAUGGGCGAAAGCCUGAUGCGGCAACGCCGCGUGAGUGAUGAAGGCCUUCGGGUCGUAAAACUCUGUCCUCAAGGAAGAUAAUGACGGUACUUGAGGAGGAAGCCCCGGCUAACUACGUGCCAGCAGCCGCGGUAAUACGUAGGGGGCUAGCGUUAUCCGGAUUUACUGGGCGUAAAGGGUGCGUAGGCGGUCUUUCAAGUCAGGAGUGAAAGGCUACGGCUCAACCGUAGUAAGCUCUUGAAACUGGGAGACUUGAGUGCAGGAGUGGAAAGUGGAAUUCCUAGUGUAGCGGUGAAAUGCGCAGAUAUUAGGAGGAACACCAGUUGCGAAGGCGGCUCUCUGGACUGUAACUGACGCUGAGGCACGAAAGCGUGGGGAGCAAACAGGAUUAGAUACCCUGGUAGUCCACGCUGUAAACGAUGAGUACUAGGUGUCGGGGGUUACCCCCCUCGGUGCCGCAGCUAACG